This 377-nucleotide ribosomal RNA is filed under the name Vibrio parahaemolyticus. RNAcentral describes it as "partial 23S ribosomal RNA". The record is from RNAcentral. Lineage: Bacteria; Pseudomonadati; Pseudomonadota; Gammaproteobacteria; Vibrionales; Vibrionaceae.
UAUGGCUGUUCGCCAUUUAAAGUGGUACGCGAGCUGGGUUUAGAACGUCGUGAGACAGUUCGGUCCCUAUCUGCCGUGGGCGUUGGAAGAUUGAAGGGGGCUGCUCCUAGUACGAGAGGACCGGAGUGGACGAACCUCUGGUGUUCGGGUUGUGUCGCCAGACGCAUUGCCCGGUAGCUAAGUUCGGAAUCGAUAACCGCUGAAAGCAUCUAAGCGGGAAGCGAGCCCUGAGAUGAGUCUUCCCUGAUAYUUUAAGUAUCCUAAAGGGUUGUCGGAGACUACGACGUUGAUAGGUCAGGUGUGUAAGUGCUGUGAGGCAUUGAGCUAACUGAUACUAAUUGCCCGUGAGGCUUAACCAUACAACACCCAAGGGGUUU